Long non-coding RNA from Helianthus annuus (common sunflower), 1653 nucleotides. RefSeq lists it as uncharacterized. NCBI's taxonomy places the organism in Eukaryota, Viridiplantae, Streptophyta, Magnoliopsida, Asterales, Asteraceae. The transcript is spliced from 10 exons. The record is from RefSeq and is a predicted model, not a curated record.
GUUGCAACUUUGAUGAUACCCUAAUGGAAUUGAGUGCCUUGAUAACGACUAUGGUUUGAUUUUUCUUCUGGCAGUUCAGUAAUUCAUUUGCUUUCAAAAUUCAAGAUAAGGGGGGUCGUAUGCACAGAUUUAUUAGUGAUUCUCAUAGUUUGGCAGAUCAUACAAUGGCCAUAAUUCAGAGACUAGGGGUGAGAUCCACCGCUACCACCUCCCACAAAUUCUGGUCUUUAGGACUGUGCAGAACUUGGUUCAAACCGACCCAACCAGUGACCCGAACCAAGACCGGAAAGCAACUUCCACUUGAUGCUUAUCGGUUUUUCAUGGAGAAGAUGAUAAAUUUGAUAUGUAUCAUGUUAACAAGAACAAUGUUAAUCGUGUUAUGCUUUUGGAGAGUGUCAUGUUGCAGUUUAAAAUCUGAUUUAUGCAUUAAAAAUAGGCAUCAGUACGAAGACGAAGACUAGGACGAAGUCGUAAUUUCAUCAGACAAUGAUCUUACUGCAAGUGAAGAUGCUGGGGUCUGCAUAUAUUUUCAGCAUUUUACGAAGCAACUAGCAAGCAUCACAUUUUUAAUGGACACUAGCAAUGGGUUCUACUCCGAUGCUGGUCUUUAUGUUCAUCUUCGAAUCGGUCCUUACGUUUGUGCCGAGUGGAAUUACGGGCCGAAAUGAAACGGUUUACAACCAAGAUAGUUAGCAUGAUGAAGGACGAGAAUCUUUAUGCGUCUCACGGUGGACCUAUAAUCUUAUCUCAGGAGGAUUUAGCUUGCACAUGUGUUGACUGUUGAGCAAUUGUCUUUGACAUAUACAAUUGCUUUUAGUGGCUGCUAGAAGAUGGUGAUCUAAAACCUUCAUUCCCACUAAGAAAAUGUUGGUCGGCGAACAUGCAUUGGUAUUGUGAUCUCAGGUUGGUCUCCCAUAUAAUGAAUCGAUAGUAGUUAAGAGUCAAUGGUUUGCCCAAAUGGCUGUGCUCGAUCCUACAUGGACGAACUUGGAUUAGUUGGUGAUUGUCCUAAUAACUAUCAGAGGAAUAUUGUCAACACAUAUGACAACAAAAGACAAAGGUCAAAAAGCUGAAAUGAACAGUUGCACACCAGGAAGCAGUGUUCAGUAGUAACAGCAGGCAAAUGUCAACUAUAAGGGACAAUAAGCAUUAAUGUCUUAUGAAAACCCUUGCACCAAAAAGUUUAGUACUCUCCAAACACAUAAUUCAUACUCAUAUGCUAAAAAAAACUUCUCAAAAACUGAAAACCCUUUGUACAAAAAAGUACAGUACUUUUCAACACAAGAAUUCAAACUCAUAUGCUCAAAAACAGGCUGCUCAAAAUAGAAUAGUUGUCUUAUAUCCUGCUCUCUAGAUAAUUUCGAAAAAACAUUAAGGUACCACCCCUAUAUAAUCCAUGAAACCAUUUGGACAAUCACACUUAAUUCUAUUCUUCAUUCUCUCUUCUUUAACAAAUGUCUAAACUGGAUACCUCAUCUGCUUCUGCAAUGUCAAAAAAGGAUUGCUCAUCGGCUGCACCAUUGCCUUCAAUGAUACCUCCAUCCGAGAUUACUUUCUUGAAGGAUUUAAAAGUAGAGCCGGUUUAAAGAUGUUGUUAACAGAUAAAGAUGGCCAUGCUACAAAUAAGACCGCAAAUGUUGUAUACAAAGAAAU